This 315-nucleotide ribosomal RNA is filed under the name Triticum aestivum (bread wheat). RNAcentral describes it as "partial small subunit ribosomal RNA". The record is from RNAcentral. Lineage: Eukaryota; Viridiplantae; Streptophyta; Magnoliopsida; Poales; Poaceae.
AUGCGACCGUUGCAAUCCAAGGUCGCCGGCGCUGUUAGGCCGGAGUUGGGAGGCCGUGAUGAAGUUUCGGGGAAGUCCAAUGCCUCAUGUGCGGCCAGUGCGGCGUCCGCUACGCCGCCGCGACCUGCAACACUUUGGGGCGAACAUCAUCGUAACCUUUUCCCUCCGCACAAGUUUUCCGCCUCGCUCGCGAGAAGUUCAUGCGACCAGCCAUCUCUCAUCGCUAUUUUACAGCGGGAUGCCAUCCGUCGAUUUGCAGAGAAAACAGAAGUUCAGUGCAUACGUCCUUCAAUUCACCAUCUCUCACAUUGUUAG